RNAcentral lists this ribosomal RNA (497 nucleotides) under uncultured bacterium. RNAcentral's name for it is "partial 16S ribosomal RNA". It matches the Rfam family "Bacterial small subunit ribosomal RNA", at positions 28 to 507 of the family's 1533-position model. The record is from RNAcentral.
GAUGAACGCUGGCGGCGUGCCUAAUACAUGCAAGUCGAGCGAACAGACGAGGAGCUUGCUCCUCUGACGUUAGCGGCGGACGGGUGAGUAACACGUGGAUAACCUACCUAUAAGACUGGGAUAACUUCGGGAAACCGGAGCUAAUACCGGAUAAUAUAUUGAACCGCAUGGUUCAAUAGUGAAAGACGGUUUUGCUGUCACUUAUAGAUGGAUCCGCGCCGCAUUAGCUAGUUGGUAAGGUAACGGCUUACCAAGGCAACGAUGCGUAGCCGACCUGAGAGGGUGAUCGGCCACACUGGAACUGAGACACGGUCCAGACUCCUACGGGAGGCAGCAGUAGGGAAUCUUCCGCAAUGGGCGAAAGCUUGACGGAGCAACGCCGCGUGAGUGAUGAAGUUCUUCGGAUCGUAAAACUCUGUUAUUAGGGAAGAACAAAUGUGUAAGUAACUAUGCACGUCUUGACGGUACCUAAUCAGAAAGCCACGGCUAACUACGUG